RNAcentral lists this ribosomal RNA (254 nucleotides) under uncultured bacterium. RNAcentral describes it as "partial 16S ribosomal RNA". It matches the Rfam family "Bacterial small subunit ribosomal RNA", at positions 524 to 776 of the family's 1533-position model. The record is from RNAcentral.
AACGUAGGAGACAAACGUUAUCCGGAGUUACUGGGCGUAAAGGGCGCGUAGGCGGCCAGGCAAGUCGGCUUGUGAAAGCCCGGGGCUCAACCCCGGAGGUGCGGCCGGGACUGCUUGGCUGGAGGCCGGAAGAGGAGGGUGGAAUACCCAGUGUAGAGGUGAAAUUCGUAGAUAUUGGGUGGAACACCGGUGGCGAAAGCGGCUCUCUGGUCCGGACCUGACGCUGAGGCGCGAAAGCGUGGGGAGCAAACAGG